CGCAGGCGGCGCCAUUUUGUGCUAGGAGCCUGAUAAAACCGGCCCGGUUCUGUGGAAAGUGGGCGGCGGAGCCAGGGUCCCUGGAAUGGCGGAGACUCUGUCAGGCCUAGGUGAUUCUGGAGCGGCGGGCGCGGCGGCUCUGAGCUCCGCCUCGUCAGAGACCGGGACGCGGCGCCUCAGCGACCUGCGAGUGAUCGAUCUGCGGGCGGAGCUGAGGAAACGGAAUGUGGACUCGAGCGGCAACAAGAGCGUUUUGAUGGAGCGGCUGAAGAAGGCAAUUGAAGAUGAAGGUGGUAAUCCUGACGAAAUUGAAAUUACCUCCGAGGGAAACAAGAAAACAUCAAAGAGGUCUAGCAAAGGGCGCAAACCAGAAGAAGAGGGUGUGGAAGAUAACGGGCUGGAGGAAAACUCUGGGGAUGGACAGGAGGAUGUUGAGACCAGUCUGGAGAACUUGCAGGACAUCGACAUCAUGGAUAUCAGUGUGUUGGAUGAAGCAGAAAUUGAUAAUGGAAGCGUGGGAGAUUGUGUCGAAGACGAUGAUGCUGAUAACCUCCAGGAGUCCCUGUCGGAUAGUAGAGAGCUAGUCGAGGGGGAAAUGAAAGAGCUUCCGGAGCAGCUUCAGGAACAUGCUAUAGAGGACAAAGAAACUAUAAACAAUUUAGAUACUUCAUCAUCUGACUUCACUAUAUUACAGGAAAUUGAAGAGCCAUCCCUGGAGCCAGUUCUCCCGAAGAUGACUCGGAUACAAAAAGGCUUUCCAAAGAGGAAAAGGGUCGCAGCAGUUGUGGUAGAAAUUUCUGGGUUAGUGGACUCUCUUCUACAACCAGAGCUACAGAUUUGAAGAAUCUUUUCAGCAAAUAUGGGAAGGUGGUGGGCGCCAAGGUUGUGACAAAUGCCCGGAGUCCUGGAGCUCGCUGUUACGGUUUUGUCACGAUGUCCACAGCAGAAGAGGCCACAAAAUGCAUUAACCACCUGCACAAGACGGAGCUCCACGG
RNAcentral lists this small RNA (995 nucleotides) under Pan troglodytes (chimpanzee). RNAcentral's name for it is "processed transcript". The record is from RNAcentral. Lineage: Eukaryota; Metazoa; Chordata; Mammalia; Primates; Hominidae.